UAGGGUUUGAUCGUGGCUCAGGGCGAACCCUGGCGGUGCGCUUCACCCAUGCAAGCCGAACGCUACAGGCCGGGCAACCGGUCUGUGGAGUGGCAAACGGCCGAGUAAUGCAUAGCUAACCUACCUUCCGCAAUGGGAUAACCUGGGGAAACUCGGGCUAAUACCAUAUAAUGCCAUGUCUGGUAUCAGACUUGGCCAAAGGGAUAGGGGGAGUAAUCCUCUUAUCCGGCGGGAGAUGGGGCUAUGUCCUAUCAGGUAGUUGGUGGGGUAAUGGCCUACCAAGCCUAUGACGGGUAGCUGGCCUGAGAGGGCGGUCAGCCGGACCGGCACUGCGACACGGGCCGGACUCCUACGGGAGGCAGCAGGGGGGAAUCUUGGGCAAUGGGUGAAAGCCUGACCCAGCGACACCGCGUGCGGGAAGAAGCCUCUCGGGGUGUAAACCGCUGUUGGGAGGGAUAAAGGGGUAAAAUCCCUGAUAGUACCUCCAGAGAAAGGGACGGCUAACUCCGUGCCAGCAGCCGCGGUAAUACGGAGGUCCCAAGGGUUGCCCGGAGUUACUGGGCGUAAAGGGUCCGUAGGCGGCCUGAUAAGUCCUCUAUGAAAUCUGCCUGCUCAACGGGCAGAGGUUGGAGGAAACUGUUGGGCUCGAGACUGGCAGGGGGAGGCGGAAUUCCCGGUGUAGCGGUGAAAUGUGUAGAUAUCGGGAGGAACGCCGAUGCCGAAGGGGGCCUCCUAGGCCAGUUCUGACGCUGAGGGACGAAAGCCGGGGGAGCAAACCGGAUUAGAGACCCGGGUAGUCCCGGCUGUCAACGAUGGGUGCUAGGUCUUGGGGUAAAUCCUCGUGGCCGAAGCUAACGCGUUAAGCACCCCGCCUGGGGAGUACGUUCGCAAGAAUGAAACUCAAACGAAUUGACGGGGACCCGAACAAGCCGCGGUGCAUUUGGUUUAAUUCGAUGCAGCGCGAAGAACCUUACCCGGGCUUGACAUGGCAACUCAAGCCUGGCUGAAAGGCCAUGGUGGAUGUAGGGAAACCUACAUCAGUUGCCACAGGUGCUGCAUGGCUGUCGUCAGCUCGUGCCGUGAGGCGUCGGGUUAAGUCCCAGAACGAGCGCAACCCCUGCUCGCUGUUGCCACUCCCCGAAAGGGGAAGCACUCUGCGAGGACUGCCGGCGAAGAGUCGGAGGAAGGAGGGGACGACGUCAAGCCCGCAUGGCCCUUAUGCCCGGGGCUACACAAGUGCAACAAUGGCCGGUACAAAGGGAAGCGAACCCGUGAGGGGGAGCAAAUCCCAAAAAGCCGGUCCCAGUUCGGAUUGGAGUCUGCAAUUCGACUCCAUGAAGUAGGAGUGGCUAGUAAUCGCAGAUCAGCUACGCUGCGGUGAAUACGUUCCCGGGUCCUGUACACACCGCCCGUCACGCCAUGGAAGUCAUCUGCACAGGAAAUCCCCAAAAGGGAUGAAUGUGUGGGUGAUGACUGGGGCGAAGUCGUAACAAGGUACCCCUACCGGAAGGUGGGGGUGGAUCACCUCCUUU
RNAcentral lists this ribosomal RNA (1532 nucleotides) under Candidatus Calescibacteriota bacterium. RNAcentral describes it as "bacterial SSU rRNA". It matches the Rfam family "Bacterial small subunit ribosomal RNA". Lineage: Bacteria; Candidatus Calescibacteriota. The record is from RNAcentral.